CCUACGGGAGGCUGCAGUGGGGAAUAUUGGACAAUGGGCGAAAGCCUGAUCCAGCCAUGCCGCGUGUGUGAAGAAGGCCUUCGGGUUGUAAAGCACUUUCAGUGGGGAAGAAAGCCUUGGGGCUAAUACCCUCGAGGAAGGACAUCACCCACAGAAGAAGCACCGGCUAACUCCGUGCCAGCAGCCGCGGUAAUACGGAGGGUGCGAGCGUUAAUCGGAAUUACUGGGCGUAAAGCGCGCGUAGGCGGUCUGAUAAGCCGGUUGUGAAAGCCCCGGGCUCAACCUGGGAACGGCAUCCGGAACUGUCAGGCUAGAGUGCAGGAGAGGAAGGUAGAAUUCCCGGGGUAGCGGUGAAAUGCGUAGAGAUCGGGAGGAAUACCAGUGGCGAAGGCGGCCUUCUGGACUGACACUGACGCUGAGGUGCGAAAGCGUGGGUAGCAAACAGGAUUAGAUACCCCGGUAGUC
Molecule: ribosomal RNA, 465 nt
Filed under: Vreelandella stevensii
Lineage: Bacteria; Pseudomonadati; Pseudomonadota; Gammaproteobacteria; Oceanospirillales; Halomonadaceae
Description: partial 16S ribosomal RNA
Rfam family: Bacterial small subunit ribosomal RNA
Source: RNAcentral